Molecule: ribosomal RNA, 253 nt
Filed under: uncultured bacterium
Lineage: Bacteria
Description: partial 16S ribosomal RNA
Rfam family: Bacterial small subunit ribosomal RNA
Source: RNAcentral
UACGUAGGGCGCAAGCGUUAUCCGGAAUUAUUGGGCGUAAAGAGCUCGUAGGCAGUUUGUCGCGUCUGCCGUGAAAGUCCGGGGCUCAACUCCGGAUCUGCGGUGGGUACGGGCAGACUAGAGUGAUGUAGGGGAGACCGGAAUUCCUGGUGUAGCGGUGAAAUGCGCAGAUAUCAGGAGGAACACCGGUGGCGAAGGCGGGUCUCUGGGCCGAUACUGACGCUGAGGAGCGAAAGCGUGGGGAGCGAACAGG